GACGAACGCUGGCGGCGUGCUUAACACAUGCAAGUCGAACGGAAAGGCACUGCUUUUGUGGGGUGCUCGAGUGGCGAACGGGUGAGUAACACGUGAGUAACCUGCCCUUGACUUUGGGAUAACUUCAGGAAACUGGGGCUAAUACCGGAUAGGAGCUCCUGCUGCAUGGUGGGGGUUGGAAAGUUUCGGCGGUUGGGGAUGGACUCGCGGCUUAUCAGCUUGUUGGUGGGGUAGUGGCUUACCAAGGCUUUGACGGGUAGCCGGCCUGAGAGGGUGACCGGCCACAUUGGGACUGAGAUACGGCGCAGACUCCUACGGGAGGCAGCAGGGGGGAAUAUUGCACAAUGGGCGGGAGCCGGAUGCAGCAACGCCGCGUGCGGGAUGACGGCCUUCGGGUUGUAAACCGCUUUCGCCUGUGACGAAGCGUGAGUGACGGUAAUGGGUAAAGAAGCACCGGCUAACUACGUG
Molecule: ribosomal RNA, 468 nt
Filed under: uncultured bacterium
Lineage: Bacteria
Description: partial 16S ribosomal RNA
Rfam family: Bacterial small subunit ribosomal RNA
Source: RNAcentral